CCCCUUUAGAAGUGCACAUAGUGAAGUCAAUAUACAGAAGAUGAGUAUGGUCCUUGGGCAAGGAUGGCAUGCACAUUCGUCAAGUCUCUCGCAUUUUG
RNAcentral lists this small nuclear RNA (98 nucleotides) under Loxodonta africana (African savanna elephant). The record is from RNAcentral. Lineage: Eukaryota; Metazoa; Chordata; Mammalia; Proboscidea; Elephantidae.